UACGUAGGGACCAAGCGUUGUUCGGAAUUACUGGGCGUAAAGGGCGCGUAGGCGGACAGUUUAGUCAGAGGUGAAAGCCCAGGGCUCAACCUUGGAAUUGCCUUUGAUACUGGCUGUCUUGAGUUCGGGAGAGGUGAGUGGAAUGCCGAGUGUAGAGGUGAAAUUCGUAGAUAUUCGGCGGAACACCAGUGGCGAAGGCGACUCACUGGCCCGAUACUGACGCUGAGGCGCGAAAGCGUGGGGAGCAAACAGG
Molecule: ribosomal RNA, 253 nt
Filed under: uncultured bacterium
Lineage: Bacteria
Description: partial 16S ribosomal RNA
Rfam family: Bacterial small subunit ribosomal RNA
Source: RNAcentral